Molecule: transfer RNA, 71 nt
Filed under: Marmota marmota marmota (Alpine marmot)
Lineage: Eukaryota; Metazoa; Chordata; Mammalia; Rodentia; Sciuridae
Also listed under: 1 other name
Rfam family: tRNA
About the family: Transfer RNA (tRNA) molecules are approximately 80 nucleotides in length. Their secondary structure includes four short double-helical elements and three loops (D, anti-codon, and T loops).
Source: Rfam by way of RNAcentral
GGGGUUGUGGCUCAGCGGUAGAGCGCUUGCCUAGCACAUGCAAGACCCUGGGUUUGAUCCUCAGCACCUCA